AUCUGCUUGAUUUUUCAUUUAGCUCUGUUAGUUAUAGUAACGAGCAUGGUUUUAGUUAUGUUUCUUUUGUGUAGUUUUAAUUAGUGUGUAAGUGAUGCAGGACUUGGCUAAUUGAUGGCAGAGGAUUUGCUAAAAAGGUGAAAAAUGCCACUCUUGCUGAUGCGUUUCAAAUCAAAGAUUGUGGAGCGAGUCGUGAAUGCCCAAAUUGCCGCU
Molecule: long non-coding RNA, 213 nt
Filed under: Olea europaea subsp. europaea
Lineage: Eukaryota; Viridiplantae; Streptophyta; Magnoliopsida; Lamiales; Oleaceae
Source: RNAcentral